CAGAGGGUCAAGGGCCGGUCAAUGUGCACAUGCAUGUUCGUUCUCCUCUGGCAGCUGUGUUAAGGCCUCAAUCCGGAUAAAACAAAAGCAAUAAUGUAUGUAGGUCUUCCCGAAGCAGCGGUUCAGAAUGAUCCCACACUGUGAGCAAUUCUGCCAAGAAACAGAGGUCUGGAGAAUCACAGCUUUCGUAAAUACCCUCCUCGUGAAAAUAUGAAUAUGCACAACACAGAGCUUUUUUGGCCAAUGGCCAGGAAGACCUGCAAGAUGCCUGAAGUAGGACCAGAAAAGCCCUGUACAUGGCCUCUUCAGUAGAGGGAAAAGCUGGGAGUUUGGCAUCCUCAACAACUCCCAUAUGACCACAUGGCAAGACAACUACUUCAGAGAAAUCUGGAGAGGAGAGAGAUGGUGACACAAAAUGAGGCCCAAAUAAAGCAGAUGGGAAGGCUCUACUAAAUGGUUACCCUCAUUUCAUUCAGGUAGGAUUGAGACUGAGGCUCCCCAAACAAAAUCUUAAUGAACAGGAGAGGUCUUGAAAAAUGCCUAUUGAGACUCGGGAAUGUAGAGAGAAAACUUACCAAGCUUACCAGUAUCACACAGUUGUAGAGUCAGGAAGACUAGAUGAUUGAAAUGUGAUAAAGAUGACUGUGAAGGAGAAGUACCCCAGAUAAAUGGAAGAGAUGAUGAGGAACUGAUGAAUGAACUUCUUUUAACUAAGAGUUGCCACACAUAAGGUUUUUCACAACAAAGAGCAAUGCUUAAAGCCAGAAUUCAAGUGCUGCUGGCUUCCUUUGUCCUGGCAUCUGGAAGGAAAGGAAGAAGGCCCAGGCAAAAGAGUAAGGAGAGACAUUCAGAAGACUCAGAAGCCAACACAACAAGGUUCAGGAAACUGAAUGCUUAGAGACUAGAGAGGCCUGUGUCUGUUCCUGAGUGGUGCUGAUGGAAAACGAUGAAGAUCCUGUUGAAGUCCUCAAUCCUGUGUACCUAUGUGAAGGAGAUAAGAUAAUAACCCUUCAAAAUAAUCCUGUUUGAAACAGAAACAUGGAGGCCUCCGUCUUGAACCUAUGUAUCUUCCUCUGAGAAAUCAUGCAAAAGAUUUUCCCCUGGGACAAGAGGGAAAUGGUCUGUGAAAGAAAGAACCUUCUACCUUCCAAGAUGCUGGCUUGUCAAUAGUUUUCAUGACCCACCCUCUCUCCCUAACUUCUUCCACCACUGUUAUUCAUCACUUCAUUCAUAGACUGAGUAGUCAACAGUGACGUGAAUCUUCUGGGAAUACACUGGUUUUUCCCCACGCUUGUAUUUAAUAAACAUGCCCGUGGCUUAGCAUGGGUAAAUCUGAACAGCA
Cricetulus griseus (Chinese hamster) is the source of this 1342-nucleotide non-coding RNA. Lineage: Eukaryota; Metazoa; Chordata; Mammalia; Rodentia; Cricetidae. The record is from RefSeq and is a predicted model, not a curated record.